RNAcentral lists this ribosomal RNA (301 nucleotides) under uncultured bacterium. Its description in RNAcentral is "partial 16S ribosomal RNA". It matches the Rfam family "Bacterial small subunit ribosomal RNA", at positions 509 to 809 of the family's 1533-position model. The record is from RNAcentral.
CAGUAGCCACGGUAAUACGAAGGGUGCAAGCGUUACUCGGAAUUACUGGGCGUAAAGCGUGCGUAGGUGGUGGUUUAAGUCCGUUGUGAAAGCCCUGGGCUCAACCUGGGAAUUGCAGUGGAUACUGGGUCACUAGAGUGUGGUAGAGGAUAGUGGAAUUUCCGGUGUAGCAGUGAAAUGCGUAGAGAUCGGAAGGAACAUCUGUGGCGAAGGCGACUACCUGGGCCAACACUGACACUGAGGCACGAAAGCGUGGGGAGCGAACAGGAUUAGAUACCCCCGUAGUCCCUGUCUCUUAUAA